CAUGGAGAUAUGUGUGCUGGAAUAACUGAAUGUCUCUUCUCAUAUCUUUGGUAUUUAUUUAUAAAAUGAAGGUAAUUCCGACGGAUGAUAAUGGUCCUUAUCCUCAUCAUCUUCACACUGUGGCAAGUUCUAGCUAAGAUACGAACCCUAAUGGACACAGUUCCAGUGAAGGAGCAUUUCUUAUCAAUAUAAGUUCCUGUAAGAAACAUAUUUAAGGCAUUAAAUCAGCGAACGUCAUAUUAUUAUUACUACCGAGGACAAGUACAGAGAAAAUUGCAAUUCCAUGAGCAAAAAGGCAAUUGAUGAAUUUGACAUAAGAGAGCAAAAAAAACCUCAAUCACUAAGACGCAGUGACGCACCAAUGGCAUUUUGAAAAAAAAAAUCCAUUUAUUAGAUGCACUGGUGAUAUUAAUUUCAAAAACUUCCUAGUACAUCAAUAUUGGAUUCUAGUAGCUCAACAAACUUUCUAGAGCUUUGCACCUGGAACAAGGCAUACACCUAGGGCCUAGUGAAUGUCACUGGCCCUUCUCCUAUAGAUGUACUAGGGUUGGAGCUGGUGAGCCUUGUGUCUGAGGUGCACCUCUAAUAACUAUGUUUAAAAGUGACUUGAUUUGAUCAUGCAUACAAUAAUCUGAUUACAAAGCAUAACUUGACUAAAUAACAACUCAACUUACGCUUGCUAAAUCUCUAAGCAUCCCCAAAACAAGCAGUAGAGAAAUCUAAAUGCAGUAUAUGGUUUCACCAUACAUAUGAAAAAACCAAAUACUUUCACAGGAAGCUAUAUUUCACAACAGAACGUGAAGUAUGCAAUGCACAUCUAAUAAGAUGGCAAAUCAGGCAUUAAGAAUCCCAAGUAAAGAGCCCAACGAAAAUGUGUGACUUAAUCACAAUUUCUGAUGCCAAAGUAACAGCUGAUAAUGAAGAAAAGAUGUUGGAUUUACUCCCAUGGAAUCAACAACAAACUACGAAAUCAUACCACAAAGCCAUGAUUCAACAACAAAUUGCUGGAAAAUCAUAUGCAUUUGCACCAUAUAUUACUAUGGAAAGACAAGACGAGAUAAAAGACUACUUGUUUAUUCCACCUGCAGAUGCAUUCAACACUAAGUAGCAGAUAAUUUAGACUCCAUUUCAGCUACUAAAAUUUAACAUCCACAAAUACGAGCACCCAGAAGUGAUGCAUAUACAUAUAAAUGAAAGUAUAAUAACCGAACCUUCAAUUGCUUCUCUGGGAGGCUUGAAACCCAAUCCAAUGGA
Molecule: unclassified non-coding RNA, 1254 nt
Filed under: Hevea brasiliensis (rubber tree)
Lineage: Eukaryota; Viridiplantae; Streptophyta; Magnoliopsida; Malpighiales; Euphorbiaceae
Source: RNAcentral